Molecule: transfer RNA, 75 nt
Filed under: Verrucomicrobiales bacterium
Lineage: Bacteria; Pseudomonadati; Verrucomicrobiota; Verrucomicrobiia; Verrucomicrobiales
Also listed under: 1 other name
Description: tRNA-Thr
Rfam family: tRNA
About the family: Transfer RNA (tRNA) molecules are approximately 80 nucleotides in length. Their secondary structure includes four short double-helical elements and three loops (D, anti-codon, and T loops).
Source: RNAcentral
GCCAGUUUAGCUCAGCGGCAGAGCAGCUGUUUUGUAAACAGCAGGUCGUCGGUUCGAUCCCGACAACUGGCUCCA